Molecule: long non-coding RNA, 566 nt
Organism: Metopolophium dirhodum (rose-grain aphid)
Lineage: Eukaryota; Metazoa; Arthropoda; Insecta; Hemiptera; Aphididae
Exons: 3
Source: RefSeq, a predicted model, not a curated record
UAUAAUAUGCAGCAAUUGUCAUGUCUAUUUUAUUAUAUUAUUUCGUGUACCUAUAUAUUAAAAGCUAUCGGUAAUAUUUCGAGACGAAAUUGUUUAUAUACUCUAGGAACAAGGUAAUAUUGUUAUGAUUGGACAACUUACUAAUAAAGGUAUGUCAUGCAGUUGAUUGGAAAAACAAAACCUCCGCAGUUGCCAAUGACUGCCGCAGAAACGGAGACAUGACGCAUCGCUUUCGACCAAAAUGUCAGCAGUGGCGAUUUUUAGACGUAGGAGAAAGGAGUUGCUAGAAGCGGGGAAGAUUACCUCGGACAACACGUUUUGUGGCAGUGCAUUUUAAUAAUUAAUUUAAUUUUUAUAAUAGGUACUUAUAAUAUACUAUAUUUUAUUUUUAUAAUGCUAACUCAUCAUCAUAAGUAUAUAGCUUAUAAACAUUAAGAGUAAAUAUAGACUAUAUAGCUUGCUUUAUAUUAUACCUAUACAAAGGGGAGAAUGUAUAAUAUGUAUGCGAAAUAAAACACCUGAAAGCUUUUUACGGAGGCAUUAAAUAAAAUAAAUGUGUAACAUAA